GACCCCCAAGUGACCUCUGAUGCCCUUCAAGUGACCUCAGAUGACCCCCAAGUGACCUCUGAUGCCCUUCAAGUGACCCCAGGUGACCCCAAGUGACCCUAGGUGACCUCAGAUGACCCCCAAGUGACCCUAGGUGACCUCAGAUGACCCCAGUUGACCUCAGAUGACUCCCAAGUGACCUCCAAUGCCCUUCAAGUGACCCUAGGUGACCCCAGGUGACCCCCAAGUAACCCCAGGUGACCUCAGGUGACCCUCAAGUGACCUCUGAUGCCCUUCAAGUGACCUUAGGUGACCUCAGAUGACCCCCAGGUGACCCCAGGUGACCUCAGAUGACCCCCAAGUGACCCCAGGUGACCUCCAAGUGACCCUAGGCGGCCCUGAGAUGA
This 386-nucleotide long non-coding RNA is filed under the name Coturnix japonica (Japanese quail). RNAcentral describes it as "lncRNA (ENSCJPG00005001165.1)". Lineage: Eukaryota; Metazoa; Chordata; Aves; Galliformes; Phasianidae. The record is from RNAcentral.